Molecule: long non-coding RNA, 2451 nt
Filed under: Capra hircus (goat)
Lineage: Eukaryota; Metazoa; Chordata; Mammalia; Artiodactyla; Bovidae
Description: lncRNA (ENSCHIG00000002068.1)
Source: RNAcentral
CGCCUGCCCCGCUGGGGUCUGCUGCGCAUGCGGUGUUACCCUGAGACUCAGGGACAUAUCAGGCAUUAACUUGCAGACUCAGAAACCUGAACGGCUGUUAACAGCGUCAUCAGCCGCAUUCCAGGCACAGUGCCGAGAGCCUCACGUGUACUAAUCCACUUAUAAAAACUUACUCCCACCUAAUCGAUGAGGAAACGAAGAUAGAAAGGUUUAUGCAGGAAAGUACACAGCCGCCAAGUAGCAGAACCAGGUUCAAGACAAUGUUAACCGCACGCUGACCUCGUUCUCUAGGCCGAAAUAAUAUCCAGAAUUAACGAGAUAAAAUACCACCCUACAAACAAGGCAAAGGUGGUCCUGGGUGGCCUGUCUUUACUGCAGACUGGGGUCCGUGGGCUCAAAAGUCUCCAACGCCAAACUCAAACUUUCACACACCCAAUACCUAAAAUCAGCCCAAACAAGCAUAUUCCAGGCUCCAGGAACUGCUGCUCUGCCCAGGGGACCGGAUGGAAGUGCGGACUGAGAACAAGCCCUCCACUCGGGGCAGGGUCCAAAUCGGAUACAUAGCACAGCCACCCUGCAGGAGGCCCGCAGCAUGUGAAAACGGGCCGAGUGGGAGCCCUGUCAGAGAAAAGGAAGGGCCUGAUUCACAAGGGAGAGAGAACCAAGAGUCCCCAGAACCAUCAAGUUUCCUUCUAACCUGCGGGCUCCUCAGCCUCAGCCCUACCCACACCUGGUUAGCUGUUGUGGUGGGGGAGGGGGGACACGGGGCCGGUCCUACUGCAAGGUCCAUAGUAGUCUCCCUCUCUCCCCACAGAUGCCAGCAUCACCCCAACUGCAGUCCUGACCAUCAAAAAUACCUCCAGAAACGCCCAGUGUCCCCUGCCCUGGGGGUCAAGGUCACAGAGGCCAGCAACCACUGGGCCCAGCAGGCAUCACGGCCCCUGGACCCAGACUGCCCCUGGCGCUGCAAGAACAGAUGGGGGUCUGAGAUCCACGCCCCUGGACCCAGACUGCCCCUGGCGCUGCAAGAAUGGAUGGGGGUCUGAGAUCCAUGCCCCUGGACCCAGACUGCCCCUGGCGCUGCAAGAAUGGAUGGGGGUCUGAGAUCCACGCCCCUUCUCCCGUCACAGGCCAGGUCGAGGUGGCUGCCCACACAGACACCUCCGGACAGAAACUUCAAAGAUGGACCUCAUCUUGAAGGAUGACACACAGUCCUGAUGAUGGGGAAAAUAGGUCCACUGUUCCAGUGGACCAGACACAAGUUUGUUGUUGCCACCAGGGGGUCACAAACGUUGAGUCAUGGGAGGUGUCUUCAUGCGGGGGCUGAGAUAAGAGCACUUUAUGCAAAGCUGACCACCAGCCUCAUGUCGAGUCCAUUCUAACUAGGUCUGGACUAAAUUCUUUAUAGUGUUUGGUACCCUGAACUCCCUGCCAGGAGCAGACCCUUGCGUGUCUGUCUCUGGGAGGGUACCUGAUCCCUCAGGGGCCAAUGAAGAACAUUCACUUUCUCACCCAUGAAACAGCAAAGCAUCCAAGCAUCUCUGUGCUGUAAAACUUGUGUCGUAAAAUCAAAGGCACUCACACUCAGCCCACAUCUCUAACCAAGAAAUGAAACCACACAACUACCACCAAUCAGAACAGCACCGAUUGCUUGCUUUUCUGGUUUCUCUCUGUUUAAAUAAUCAAGGAUACUUGUACACAAGGAAAAACUGCACUACAGAGCCAAACAAAAAAAAAUUUCUUUCUAAUUAAAGAUCUUUAAAUUCUUCCAUAUACUUUCUUUAAUAGUUGUAAUUAUAGCCCUACUUAAUGUUAUGCACUUCCACUAAAUGAGAGGUUAAUUAUACAGACUCUGGUAAUUACGAAAAGUAAAAUAACAUAUGAAAUGUCAUAAUGAAUAAUUAAUAAGACCUCUUUGAUCUGGUUCAGACCAGAGUAGCAGAGCUAACAGGCUCCCUCUGUCUCUUUGGUGUAGGGACAAUCUGACUGAAUAAACCAAGUAUCUGAUACUAGAAGCAGGAGUUCAUAAUAAGCAUUUACCUUGCCUAAAACUAAAGGUGAAAACUUUUAAUUAGUUCCACACUUAAACAGAUACCACAGAUGUGAGGCCGGGUGGCUAAUAUGCCUUGAGGCCCAAAGUGGAGACAGUGCAUCAUGGCUGAUGUUCUAGGGUCUCCUCUCCACCCUGCUAGACUGCGUUACAGGGCAGUACACCUUGAGGCCCAAAGUGGAGACAGUGCAUCAUGGCUGAUGUUCUGGGGUCUCCUCUCCACCCUGCUAGACUGUGUCACAGGGCUGUCACAUCGCAUGGAAGCCUUCAGGAAACAGACAAUGUGUGAACACAGAAGCAGCAGCAAGAAGGGGCCUGCCCUCAAAGAACAUUAAGACUUCUUAGGCAUAAGUAACUCACGUAAUUCAAAUCAAUAAUUUACAUUAUUUCAUACGUUAACU